GGGGGUGUAGCUCAGUCGGGAGAGCGCCUGCUUUGCAAGCAGGAGGUCAUCAGUUCGAUCCUGUUCACCUCCACCA
RNAcentral lists this transfer RNA (76 nucleotides) under Magnetococcales bacterium. RNAcentral's name for it is "tRNA-Ala". It matches the Rfam family "tRNA". From Rfam's summary of the family: Transfer RNA (tRNA) molecules are approximately 80 nucleotides in length. Their secondary structure includes four short double-helical elements and three loops (D, anti-codon, and T loops). Further hydrogen bonds mediate the characteristic L-shaped molecular structure. tRNAs have two regions of fundamental functional importance: the anti-codon, which is responsible for specific mRNA codon recognition, and the 3' end, to which the tRNAs corresponding amino acid is attached (by aminoacyl-tRNA synthetases). tRNAs cope with the degeneracy of the genetic code in two manners: having more than one tRNA (with a specific anti-codon) for a particular amino acid; and 'wobble' base-pairing, i.e. permitting non-standard base-pairing at the 3rd anti-codon position. The record is from RNAcentral. Lineage: Bacteria; Pseudomonadati; Pseudomonadota; Magnetococcia; Magnetococcales.